UACGGAGGGGGUAAGCGUUAUUCGGAAUUAUUGGGCGUAAAGGGCGCGUAGGCGGCUAGAUGUGUCAAAGGUGAAAUCCCUCGGCUCAACUGAGGAACUGCCUUUGAAACUGUCUGGCUUGAGGCCGGGAGAGGGUAGCGGAAUUCCCAGUGUAGCGGUGAAAUGCGUAGAUAUUGGGAGGAACACCAGUGGCGAAGGCGGCUACCUGGACCGGUUCUGACGCUGAGGCGCGAAAGCGUGGGUAGCAAACAGG
Molecule: ribosomal RNA, 253 nt
Filed under: uncultured bacterium
Lineage: Bacteria
Description: partial 16S ribosomal RNA
Rfam family: Bacterial small subunit ribosomal RNA
Source: RNAcentral